GGACUACCCGGGUUUCUAAUCCCGUUUGCUCCCCUAGCUUUCGCGCCUCAGCGUCAGAAAAGGUCCAGCGAGCCGCCUUCGCCACCGGAGUUCCUAAUGAUAUCAACGCAUUUCACCGCUCCACCAUUAGUUCCGCUCGCCCCUACCUCCCUCGAGGCCGUCAGUAUCUGAGGCAGUUCCACGGUUGAGCCGCGGGAUUUCACCCCAGACUUGACAGCCCGCCUACGCGCCCUUUAAGCCCAGUUAUUCCGAACAACGUUCGCUCGGUUCGUCUUACCGCGGCUGCUGGCAC
This 292-nucleotide ribosomal RNA is filed under the name uncultured bacterium. RNAcentral describes it as "partial 16S ribosomal RNA". The record is from RNAcentral. RNAcentral also lists the same sequence under 2 other names.